Small nucleolar RNA from Lemur catta (Ring-tailed lemur), 138 nucleotides. RefSeq annotates it as small nucleolar RNA SNORA70. NCBI's taxonomy places the organism in Eukaryota, Metazoa, Chordata, Mammalia, Primates, Lemuridae. The transcript has a single exon. The record is from RefSeq and is a predicted model, not a curated record.
AUGCAGCCAAUUAAGCCAACCAUGCUACUUUCCUCAUGCAGCCCGGUGUGCAAUGCCUGCCUACAGCAGCCUCCUUGGUAGUGUAUGUAGCCUGUUGCUUACUUGUAUGGGUUGCUCUAAGGGACCUUGGAGACAGUC